Molecule: ribosomal RNA, 422 nt
Filed under: uncultured bacterium
Lineage: Bacteria
Description: bacterial SSU rRNA
Rfam family: Bacterial small subunit ribosomal RNA
Source: RNAcentral
UCGAGAAUCUUCCCCAAUGGCCGAAAGGCUGAGGGAGCGACGCCGCGUGCAGGACGAAGGGCUUCGGUCUGUAAACUGCUUUUCUCAGGGACGAACGAUGACGGUACCUGAGGAAUAAGAGGUUGCUAACUCUGUGCCAGCAGCAGCGGUAAUACAGAGACCUCAAACGUUGUCCGGAUUUACUGGGCGUAAAGGGUCCGUAGGCGGCUUUGUGCGUCGGUGGUCAAAUCUUGGAGCUCAACUCCAAGACCGCCAUCGAUACGGCAAGGCUCGAGCAUGGGAGAGGUACGCGGAAUUGCCGGUGUAGUAGUAAAAUGCGUUAAUAUCGGCAAGAACACCAAAUGCGAAGGCAGCGUACUGGAACAUUGCUGACGCUCAGGGACGAAAGCGUGGGGAGCGAAAGGGAUUAGAAACCCGUGUAG